AGAGCACCGCACGUCGCG
RNAcentral lists this small nuclear RNA (18 nucleotides) under Arabidopsis thaliana (thale cress). Its description in RNAcentral is "snRNA_16272". Lineage: Eukaryota; Viridiplantae; Streptophyta; Magnoliopsida; Brassicales; Brassicaceae. The record is from RNAcentral.